RNAcentral lists this non-coding RNA (26 nucleotides) under Homo sapiens (human). The record is from RNAcentral. Lineage: Eukaryota; Metazoa; Chordata; Mammalia; Primates; Hominidae.
UGCCUAUUGUACCUUGAAGGAAAAGA